GCGGGGAUAGCUCAGUUGGGAGAGCGCCAGACUGAAGUCAACUUCAGGACCUGAUAUCUGGAGGUCGUGUGUUCGAUCCACACUCACCGCA
This is a non-coding RNA of Xylariaceae sp. FL0016, 91 nucleotides long. Lineage: Eukaryota; Fungi; Ascomycota; Sordariomycetes; Xylariales; Xylariaceae. The record is from the annotation of a GenBank genome assembly.